RNAcentral lists this unclassified non-coding RNA (999 nucleotides) under Sinorhizobium medicae WSM1115. Its description in RNAcentral is "partial contains 16S ribosomal RNA, 16S-23S ribosomal RNA intergenic spacer, and 23S ribosomal RNA". The stretch from base 245 to 318 matches the Rfam family "tRNA". The record is from RNAcentral. Lineage: Bacteria; Pseudomonadati; Pseudomonadota; Alphaproteobacteria; Hyphomicrobiales; Rhizobiaceae.
GGCUGUGGAUGGAGACGGCAUCUUCGGAUGCAUGACCUUUCCCGUGCUUUUUAGAACAUAGAUCGGAUCAGUCAGAUCACGAUCGAAACGCAAUACGUCGAGUAUGGGUCUGGUUGUCCUUCGAGCGUCAAGCGCGAGGGGCGUUUAGCCAUAUCCGGCUCAGAUAAGGCGAGAGCCGCCGUCCACGUUUCUCUUUCUCACAAGGAUACGAACCACGCCGCAUCAUGUUGCGUGCUUAACGAAUGGGCCCGUAGCUCAGGUGGUUAGAGCGCACGCCUGAUAAGCGUGAGGUCGGCAGUUCGAGUCUGCCCGGGCCCACCAUUCGCUCUGCGAAUGUGUCCUGACGCUGUCGCGAUCUGAAGAUCGCUUCGCUCCGGACGGGCCGCCGAACGAUCGGCGACGGGCUUUGCCCUUGCGGCGCUUGUUGCGCCGACAGGCAUGCUUGACAUGUUCACCGAAGCCGGCGUCGCCGGUCAUCGAAAGAUGGGGCUGUAGCUCAGCUGGGAGAGCACCUGCUUUGCAAGCGGGGGGUCAGCGGUUCGAUCCCGCUCAGCUCCACCAUUCGAUUGGUGUUGAACUGGCGGUAAUUAUCCUUGGAGAAAAGUAGGUUUGCAUCUUCUUUAURAGACGGAUGCCUGUUCUGCAAUAAUUAGGAAAAAAAAUAUAUGUCUGGAAGCUUGCGGGGGAUGGAGGUGAACGGAUGGUUGGCGGAAGACGUCCCCCCCCCCCCCCCGAAGCAUCCAGGAUCGUCCCCCCCCACCGAAUAUGGAGGAGUGGUGGAGGGAGGAAGGAUGUUUGUUAAAGAAGGAGGGUGGUGGGGGGGCCUCCSGGAGGCCCCCCUGUGGUCUGGGGUUUAGUGGGUGCCGCCACACGGUAAUCGGGAGAGAUUUGCGGAGAUGGUGGUCUAAAAAAGGGGCUGAAGAACCCCCCCGGGGGUYUCCCAAAARASASCYCUUKACAAACCUMGWGSRYUAUUUUGGGUUUUUAUAAAAAGGACCG